UACGGAGGGUGCAAGCGUUAAUCGGAAUCAUUGGGUUUAAAGGGUCCGUAGGCGGGUGCGUAAGUCAGUGGCGAAAGUCUGCAGCUCAACUGUAGAAUUGCCAUUGAUGCUGUUAACCUUGAGUAAUUAUGAAGUGGUUAGAAUAUGUAGUGUAGCGGUGAAAUGCAUAGAUAUUACAUAGAAUACCGAUUGCGAAGGCAGAUCACUAAUAAUUUACUGACGCUGAUGGACGAAAGCGUAGGUAGCGAUCAGG
This 253-nucleotide unclassified non-coding RNA is filed under the name uncultured Flavobacteriaceae bacterium. RNAcentral describes it as "contains 16S-23S intergenic spacer region". It matches the Rfam family "Bacterial small subunit ribosomal RNA", at positions 524 to 776 of the family's 1533-position model. The record is from RNAcentral. Lineage: Bacteria; Pseudomonadati; Bacteroidota; Flavobacteriia; Flavobacteriales; Flavobacteriaceae.